This 544-nucleotide ribosomal RNA is filed under the name uncultured archaeon. RNAcentral's name for it is "bacterial SSU rRNA". It matches the Rfam family "Archaeal small subunit ribosomal RNA", at positions 333 to 879 of the family's 1478-position model. The record is from RNAcentral.
CACCAGGCGCGAAACCUUUGCAAUACACGAAAGUGUGACAGGGUCAUCCCGAGUGCCGACCGCUGAGGUUGGCUUUUACCCAGUCUAGAAAGCUGGGGGAAUAAGGAGAGGGCAAGUCUGGUGUCAGCCGCCGCGGUAAUACCAGCUCUCCGAGUGGUGUGGACGUUUAUUGGGCCUAAAGCAUCCGUAGCUGGCUGAUCAAGUCCCCUGUUAAACCCACCGAUUUAAUCGUUGGCUUGCGGGGGAUACUGCUCGGCUAGGGGACGAGAGAGGCUGACGGUAUUCCCGGGGUAGGGGUGAAAUCCUAUAAUCCCGAGAAGACCACCAGUGGCGAAGGCUGUCUGCUAGAACGCGCCCGACGGUGAGGGAUGAAAGCUGGGGGAGCGAACCGGAUUAGAUACCCGGGUAGUCCCAGCUGUAAACGAUGCAGGCUAGGUGUUUGGACGGCCACGCGCCGUUCUAGUGCCGCAGGGAAGCUGUUAAGCCUGCCGCCUGGGGAGUACGAUCGCAAGACUGAAACUUAAAGGAAUUGGCGGGGGAGCAC